CUUCCAGGAGCCUAUGGGCUCUGUGACUUCUGAGCCUCUCCCGCCUCCUCCUAUUCGGUCUUCAGUUAACAGUUGAUGGAGCAGAUGGCAGCUGGAGUAUGGAGCAGUUGAAUGAGUCACAUGGGGAGCCUGUUGAAAACUCAAAAAUUGAACAUCAUAGAAGUCAGGCCUGCUGAGCCUCAACAUGAAGCCAUCCUUCCUGUUUCUGCAAUAGGGUGCUUAGUAACUGAAAUUGAUUUCAUUUUGACUUCUGGUGGUGUGCUGACCUUUGGAAGGCCUCUGCAGUGUUUGAAGCUAAAUUUGACUUGGCUUGAUCUUCAUGACUGCAGUAUUCGAAGGCUGAAAACAAAACUUAGUCUACACUAUCUCCCCUAAUUUAUUUACUCAGCUGUCCCUUCAACAUUCACACUUCGCUUCCUCUCACUAAGAAGUUUUGAUGUCUGCUUUUUCUGCACCUGUUGAUAGCAACUUAUCCCUAAGAUAUAUAAAGGGACCUUUUUAUCUUCAAGGACAUUUCUGCUGCCUCAUAUUGCUGCCACUAAUAGUGAAGGCUCAGAAAAGUUGAUAAACCUAGCACAUCAGUGUUUGCAUAAAGAAGUAAAGAAACAUACUUUGGAUUCCAAGUGAAUUGGACUAGUGCAUAUCAUUAACCAUCUUGGUACAGUGGUAUAUAAUAUACAAUUGGGAAAAAAAUCAAAAUAAGUACAUGUAUUUCAGUUAAAGUUAUUCAGUGGUGUAUGAAAUUUAAUGUAUUAAAUUUAUUUAAAAGCCACAGAAUGCCAAUAACACCAAUGGACUAAAAAACGAGUAGCUGUUAAACGCUGAUAAAGGAGAACAAGUGUUAAUUUGUAUUUGUUGUGUUUUUCUAUUUUUAAUAUAUUUGUGUGUCAUAAUAUUUUGACGUAGAUUUGCUUAUUGAGUUGUUUGUUUGUUUUUUGCUUUGUUAAGUAAACUCUUAAUUAUGAAAAUGUGUGUAACCUCCCUAACUGGUCUCUUAAGUGUGCAGAUAAUUCAAGCAUUACCAAACACACACCCAGAGAUACUAUGGUCAUUCAUAACCCUCCCAUUUGUUCAAAGAAAGCACAUUUCGACCCCCCCCCCAUUUGAUUGGCAAAUAUUUGAAUGACCAAAACAAAAUUGUCAAUGAUCAUAUGUGUAGUAAAUGGACUGAUAAUCAAUGGAUAUGUCCCACGUUGCCAGUCUUGAAAGAACCCUGCUUAUUCCAGAGCAACAGACUAUCCACAUGUUAUUGGGAUGAAUUGGAUAAUAGCACAACCAAACUAUAUUUUGAUUAAAUGAAUUGUGUGUGUGGUAGGACUCAAACAAAUUAUUUGACAAGGGAAAAAUGCUUUGUUUCCUCCCCUGCAGCAGUGUAUGUGUAAUGUCACUGUUAGUCAAACUCCACUUUUCACGUAUUAUUUCACAAAACAAAUAAUUCAAGAUAUAAAAGAUAACAAUUUGUUAAAUUUUAAUGUUUCCAUAGAAGUCAGUUAGACAGCCCUGCUCAAUCUUCUGAUGCAAAAUUUGCAAAUAACUCAAUUAACCACUGCCACUCGUAAUAGCACGUAAGUGCACAGUAUUUCUGUAUUGCAUGUAGGUAAAGAAAUCCUGAAAGUUUCAGAACAAGCCAAACAAAUGUUAGCAUAUCAUUGGUAUGACAUCUUCACAGGAUAUGCUCCUUCAAGGGACGGCUAUUCUUAAUAUCAUGCUGCACCCUAUAAUAAUAAAUUUGUUUCUCGUAAUGAAAAGUUUAUUUCUUGUCAUGUGUUAUGUGUGUUGUUGAAUAAAAUCAAUGUAUCCAAAACUUUAUGAACUGCAAUUGAAAACAAAAUAUCUCCUUAUCAGACAAAUGUAGUUUAUGACCCAUUCAUCACUGAUGUUUGAAGGGUCAAAGUGGGGACAUGUAGCAUGAACUGAACUAAUGUAGCUAACGUUAACAUAAAGUGUAGUAAUGGUAAAAUAUAACCAUGUUAGUCUUUUCAUGUAAGCAACUUGAAAACUCCAUUUUGUAUCCUUCUGCUUGACAUAAGUGAAUGAACUCUGCAUAGCCUUUAUAUAUUAGUGUGUGUAAAAGGGUGAAUGGUGAGAGAGUGGCAUAGAGAUGGGAGAAGAAGGUUUAACUGUUUAUAUAAGCAACAAGGCGUCAAAUGUAAGUUACUAGUCAGUAAACUAAUUAAUGAACGGCUGAAGCUCGAGGGCACAAAGAAAAUAACAGAAGAAGACAUUCUGCCAGACGGGUAACAAGAAUACUCCAAGGCUAAGAUAAGCUGAAGACAAAAGAAGAACAACUGCAAAAACAGAAGGUGGGUAUGGAAAAACCCCAAAGCACUGAAACAAAGGAUGCCAAGCCCUAUAAAAGAACACUUUGAAAAUGCCAAGUUGGGUGAGUCUCUUUCUCUACUGCUGUUUCAUUGGAGCACAGAUGCAUCUGUUCACCCUGCUCCAGCUGUUAUCUUAAAAUCUGCUAUCUUCAAAUCAUCAUCAUCUACUCAAUAAGCCUGGGUUGGCUACCCUGGGCUGAUAUUGAGCAACUAUUGCUGGUAACUAUAUCUGGUGUAUGUAUGGAUGAAAUGGUUGUUUUGUGUAUGUGUAUACCUGUGUGUAAUGAUGCGUAUGAUGAUUUGCGUGUGUUUAUAUGAAUGGUGUGCCUGAAUCUCUAUGUCUAACUCAUGUAAUCAGUAAACGCGGCACCUUGCC
This is a long non-coding RNA of Alligator mississippiensis (American alligator), 2697 nucleotides long. RefSeq lists it as uncharacterized. The transcript has 5 exons. NCBI's taxonomy places the organism in Eukaryota, Metazoa, Chordata, Crocodylia, Alligatoridae. The record is from RefSeq and is a predicted model, not a curated record.